GAUGAAGACCGUAGCGAAAUGCGAUAAGUAGUGUGAAUUGCAGAAGUACCGUGAAUCAUCGAAUCUUUGAACGCAAAUUGCACUCUCUGGUAUUCCGGGGAGUAUGCCUGUUUGAGGGUCGCUUAACAAACCAUCGAUUUCGUUGCUUUUUUUUUAAAAAGUGAUGUUUAUCGGAUUUGAGCCGUCUUUUUUUUUAUAUUUAAGUGGCUUAAAAUUGAUUUUUUUGGUACGAUCGAAGCGUAUUUUUAUGAUCAAUUUUUGGUUAAAGAAACGCACGCGUACCGUUAUUUAUAUGAUGUAAUACGUUUGACUAUUGGAUUUAGUUCAUUCGUAUACGAUAUUUUUCAAUAUUUGACCUCAAAUCAGGUAAGAACACCCGCUGAACUUAAGCAUAUCAAUAAGCGGAGGA
RNAcentral lists this unclassified non-coding RNA (409 nucleotides) under soil metagenome. Its description in RNAcentral is "partial contains 5.8S ribosomal RNA, internal transcribed spacer 2, and large subunit ribosomal RNA". The stretch from base 1 to 121 matches the Rfam family "5.8S ribosomal RNA", at positions 35 to 154 of the family's 154-position model. The record is from RNAcentral.